AUCAUCAUCGUCAUUGCGACGACCAUAGCUAGGCUUCCUGUAACUCCCCUCUUCCUGUUCCUCAGACCUUCCAUAGCUAGGCUUCCUGUAACUCCCUUCCUCCUGAUCCUCAGAUCUUCCAUAGCUAGGCUUAAUGUAACUCUCCACCUGUUCCUCAGACCCUCCAUAACUUGGUUUCCUGUAACUACCUUCCUCCUGAUCCUCAGAUCUCCCAUAGCUAGGCUUCCUGUAACCUUCCUCUUGAUCCUCAGAUCUCCCAUAGCUAGGCUUCCUGUAACCUUCCUCUUGUUCCUCAGAUCUUCCAUAGCUAGGCUUCCUGUAGCCUUCCUCUUGAUCCUCAGAUCUUCCAUAGCUAGGCUUCCUGUAACUUCCUUCUUCCUGAUCCUCAGAUCUUCCAUAGCUAGGUUUCUUGUAACCUUCCUCUUGUUCCUCAGACCUUCCAUAGCUAGGCUUCCUGUAACCUUCUUCUUGUUCCUCAGACCUACCAUAGCUAGGCUUACGCUCAUACUCAGACUCUGAUCUGCCACCAUAUCCAGAUCCAAGACCCGAUUCAGGUCUCCUCCCAUACUCAACCUCAGUUCUUCCACCACCAGAUCCAUACUCCGAUUGAUUCUCCGUUCUACCACCAUAACUCUGCUCAGGUCUCCGACCAUACUCCGUCUCAGUUUCACCACCAUAUCCAGAUUCAGGCCUCCUACCAUACUCACUCUCCGUCUGACCACCAUAACCAGAUCCAGAUCCAUAACCAGGAUUCGGCCUCUCACCUUGAACAUGACCGCCACCACCUGAAUCGGGUCGAAAUGCGG
Molecule: long non-coding RNA, 806 nt
Filed under: Capsella grandiflora
Lineage: Eukaryota; Viridiplantae; Streptophyta; Magnoliopsida; Brassicales; Brassicaceae
Description: long non-coding RNA (CGRA_LNC001548)
Source: RNAcentral